CAAUUUUCCCACCGGUGCUAUAGAAAAUAUGCACCAUAUAUAUAUGCUUAUCAGACUAUGAACCAUACAUUUACUUUUUACUGCUCAUGAGCAUUGAGUGUGGUCAAGCUGUGUAUACCCUUAGGAGCUUGUCAUGUGGUUAAAAUCAAGAUUCACUUGCAUGUUCACUCAUACAUGCUGCUUCUACUCCGGAAGUACGCAUCCACAUACAUCCACUCAUUUCCAUAUCCAGAUCCACCCAAAAUUAUUCUACUCCUAUCUAGGAGAGAAUUGCCAAAAAUAAUAUCCUAUCCCUGUUAUUCCCUGUGAAAUAAAUGCUCAAGUUAUUUCGGUUACUACCACUUGCUACAUUAUUUCAAGAGAUGAGUGCUCUAAAAAAAGAGAGAAGAUACGAGGAAAUAAAAAGGGCCAAGUGCCCGGAACCUCGAAGAAAAGAAAAAGUGAGAAGAUAGGUAAAAAUGGACAAGUGUCCGACAGUAGAUUUAGGGGUACAAGAUACCCACCUGAGAAAAAAGAAAAAGAAAAUAUAGAGCAUCUCAUUCUCCUCAAAAAGUUUCAAAAGAGCAAGAAAGGUAUGUAUCCCCUCAAAAGAGCACAAGUAGAAUUAGACUUUCACCAUUGUUAUCACCAUCAUCACCAUACACCAUUCAUUCGCCACACAUGCACAUCUUGAUUUGACUUAUUGACUUGUUCUUCUGGAUCCAUGGUUUGACUAUGCAAUAAAUGUCUUGUAAGUAUGUAUUAGCUGUCUCCCACCUAUGAGCUCCAGAUAUCAAAACCUUAAUAGAGUAGGGUGAGAGAGAAGGCAAUGCCACUAUGCCUCAUACCAAAAAUACCACAUACUUUGAGAGAAGGCAUACACCAUUACUGCCUUGGUAAGGAUCCAGAAAUACCACAAAAGAGAGACUAGAGAGAGUCAUACAAGGAAUCUCUGAGUUUUAUUUGAAAAUCUGCAAAAACUCCAGAGCUAUAGUUAAUCGAAGAAUAAGAGACAUGGCGCUUGACUAGACCGUUCUAUCUUUUAACUGCUCAAGACACAAGUGAUGGUUGCAAGCCCCAUGGUGGAAGGUAAAAUGAGUAAGUUUAAAUCUUAACAGUUUACCCUAACCCAGAGAUGAGAUCUUGUUUGGACGCAUGUGUACCUUUAAGGAAUGAAACCACUGUAGAAACUCUUGACUUCAUCUUUGCUCAGGGACGAGCAAAGGUUAAGCUUGCGGGAGCUUGUUGACGGUCCUUAAUGCUCACAUUUAACCGUCAAAUAAUCAUGGAAAAGGACCUAUAUGCAACUAACACCUAGACUUAGGGUUUUAUCUGACAGAAUUCCAUGAGUUUUGGUGUUUGUCUAUUUCUGCAGGUGGUUAUCAGGAAAUAUAGAGGAAAGGCCCAC
Molecule: long non-coding RNA, 1387 nt
Filed under: Sorghum bicolor (sorghum)
Lineage: Eukaryota; Viridiplantae; Streptophyta; Magnoliopsida; Poales; Poaceae
Description: long non-coding RNA (SBIC_LNC016075)
Source: RNAcentral